Molecule: ribosomal RNA, 447 nt
Filed under: uncultured bacterium
Lineage: Bacteria
Description: bacterial SSU rRNA
Rfam family: Bacterial small subunit ribosomal RNA
Source: RNAcentral
ACCAGACUCCUACGGGAGGCAGCAGUGGGGAAUAUUGCACAAUGGGGGGAACCCUGAUGCAGCGACGCCGCGUGAGUGAAGAAGUAUUUCGGUAUGUAAAGCUCUAUCAGCAGGGAAGAAAAUGACGGUACCUGACUAAGAAGCCCCGGCUAACUACGUGCCAGCAGCCGCGGUAAUACGUAGGGGGCAAGCGUUAUCCGGAUUUACUGGGUGUAAAGGGGGCGCAGACGGCGAUGCAAGCCAGGAGUGAAAGCCCGGGGCCCAACCCCGGGACUGCUCUUGGAACUGCGUGGCUGGAGUGCAGGAGGGGCAGGCGGAAUUCCUAGUGUAGCGGUGAAAUGCGUAGAUAUUAGGAGGAACACCAGUGGCGAAGGCGGCCUACUGGACGGUGACUGACGCUGAGGCUCGAAAGCGUGGGGAGCAAACAGGAUUAGAUACCCCUGUAGA